Molecule: long non-coding RNA, 1738 nt
Organism: Dromaius novaehollandiae (emu)
Lineage: Eukaryota; Metazoa; Chordata; Aves; Casuariiformes; Dromaiidae
Source: Ensembl
AGAGAACAGUCGGAGAGGGUAACUCCCUCUUAAGUCAACUGCCGCCCGCUCAGGUCCCGCAGCGAAAGACACUCGUAAAACAAACGUCCGACAGCAAACGUCUCCCUCGCAGUCGCUCCGACGCCGCCAGCACGGGUGCCCGCCGUCCCCCGCGCCGGGCACGGCACCCCGGCAUGUCCCGACACGCCGGCAGCAGCGCGGGACGGCGGCGAGACUCCCGGCGGCGGGGGGAGCCGACGGCCGGGCUCGGUCGCUUUUCGGGGAAGCGGGCCAAGCGGCGCGGGCGAGCCCGGGACGGCUCUCCAAGGAGAAGAAAGUUAUACUGAAUUUAUUGUUGUUGCGCCUGUUUGUGUUUUCACAUCCACCUUCCUGCCAGCUCUGCUGAAGCAACAGGCCAUUGAUUUCCCUCUUACCUUUUUCCAAUAGACUGCUCGGUCUUACUGAGUCUUGGAGGAGGCAGGCGUAAUUCCAUCAUGAAGGAUUACCAGGGGCAGAGGAGAACACAGAACAGUCAACAGCUCGCUUAAAGCACUGUAUGCUAUUUUCUAUAUUUAAAGUAAUUAGUGGGUAACUAUUCUGUAUAUGUGCCUUACUUGGAGAGUAAAGGCAGCCCCUGGCAUCAUGGAAACUGUGGCCGCCAUUGACAGAGUCAGUCUGAACUAAAAAGAAAAUAUUAGCUCUUUUUAAUGAUUUACUGCAAGGUUAAAUUAUUUUUUGCUGCUUGUUUAAUUCAGAGUACAUUCAUGACAAACAAAUCAAUAUAUUGAAGAUCACAUCUCUUUCUCUUUGGGUUUAGAGACAAAAGAAGACUGUAAAAUGGCUGUAAUAUUAGACUGCCUCAAAAGAGCCAUUAUUUCAGAUAAAUCUGUUUACCUAUAGCAUCUAAAUGCCUUUGCCUGUGUUUUAAAAAGAGGCAAAAUAUUCCAAAAAAAAAAAAAUCCAAAAAAAAACCCCUCAGGGCAAAUACAAAGGACCAAAACCACUAGCAUGCUGUAUUUAGUAUUGUUAGACUAUACAGCAGCUAGUUGUGACAGGAGGGGAAAAAAAAAGUCUGGUGCAAGCCUCUAACAAGUGAUCAGGAGCAUCACAAAAGAGUUGUACGCCAGGCAGCUGGAACAGGGGAAACAUUAGGGCAGGAAUUACAAACGGAAGAAAAUGUUGGAUUUCAAAAGGAAACUAGCCAGCAACCCGCCGGUGUGACAGCCCUCGAGGGUCAGCCCCACAGAGAGAGAGGACAUCUAAGGAAAGCGCGGCAGCUCCGGCUCGCUCUUAUCUGAGAACAUCCACAAUGCUGCCGGCYGUACUCCUGCGCGGGAAUAAUGUACACCUGCGAAAACCGACAAAGAGCAGGCAAAUACAGCCAGCGGAUUCACUCGCCGGCUGAGGCAGCAUCUGAAGAAAGCACUAUUUAAAAACACAAGAGGUGGUGUUAUAAUGAGGAAACCAUGGAGAGCGAACAGCUUAUGAUUAUUGACAGAAGUUGAUUAAGAAAUGGAUUAUUGUCUGUUAGGAUGUUGGAGUAUCCACUGUCACCUCUGUCCUCGGUAUCCUGAUGUAAAUUUUUUUUUUUAAUUGAUGUAUUCAUUUGCAGUCUUUAUUUUCAUUGGUACCGUGCCUGAUUUGCAUUUGAAAGUAAAAAAAGGGAAAAAUUAAACAGGACCGGCUGACCCCUGCCAUGUGACAAAGGCUUAGCUUUCUGCCACUCUGACCCCAGUGGAGCAGGGCCAGGAAAUAAAGG